CCAACGGCCCUCUUUAGGGCCACAAAUGUCCAAAUAAUCCUAAAGU
Non-coding RNA from Caenorhabditis brenneri, 46 nucleotides. Lineage: Eukaryota; Metazoa; Nematoda; Chromadorea; Rhabditida; Rhabditidae. The record is from Rfam.